ACAAGUUAUGACCUAAAUUCAAAAAAGUAGGACAAAAAUCACAAAAACUGAUUAAAAUGGUAAAGAAGAAUGCUCAACAAGAGAGAAACAUAGAUGAACAACUCAAGAAGACGAUUAAAAAUCCUCCGAAAGGGAAAAAAAAAAGAAACGGUGCCAUAUAGGUGCUCGUUGCAUCAUUUGUGCACGAAAGCAUCUGGAAUUAAGGCUUUGAUACAAAAAGGAGGGACAACAUAUGCCGGCUAUUUUUUCAUCUCCAUGUUGGCGCUUUUUCAAACCUUUCUAUGAAUUCUUGAAGAAGACGAGUUAAAGAAAAAUACGAAAGCCGUCAAGAUGAUCAACAAGAAAAGGUGCAGAAUGUGAGAUCAAAGCUGGCCUAUAAGAUUCUCCUUGAAAAAAGAGAACAAUACUCACAUGUCGUGCCUAAAAAAAGCACCAUUCUUUUGGCAAAUUCAGUUUGUGUUGAAGUUUAAACUACUUGUAAAAUGGUUAUCGACUAAUUGUAAUGGUGACAAAUUACAGUUGAUGUAAAAAAAGAUUUAA
Papaver somniferum (opium poppy) is the source of this 540-nucleotide long non-coding RNA. RefSeq lists it as uncharacterized. Lineage: Eukaryota; Viridiplantae; Streptophyta; Magnoliopsida; Ranunculales; Papaveraceae. The record is from RefSeq and is a predicted model, not a curated record. The transcript is spliced from 2 exons.